AAAGGCCACACCUCGCCGCGGAUAGAUGGCUCGAUACCCCCAAAGAAGAUGGCCUGGCGUGGGGGCAAACGCGGUGAGCGCAAAGAGCCUAAGCCAGACGCCGAGGCUGGGCAUGAGACAAGCACUGAGAUGAUUUUCAAGAGCAGGCACCAGGGGGGCUGAGAGAAACUGGCUUCAGCAGAUUGAUUGCCUAUAACAUGGCUCACAUUGUGACGUUUGAAAGUCACAUUGAGCAGGACAGGCUGACAACCUGUCGACAUGGAUGAUCCAUCGCAGCUCAAGGUCAGGAUCAGCUUUUCUGGAAGUAGAAAGACUCACCUUGCGCAGCUUGUAUUCCUCCUCUACUUGGCCGUUUUGAGUGAGAUGCCUUAGCCAAGAGCCGACAUCCAGCCUCCGGUAGAGCUUCUCUUCAGGAUGGCUCUCGGCCGACGGCAGUGUGGACCUCUGGAUGGAGAACUGCAUGCAGGACUUCUCGUUCGACACCUAGCGCGGGCAGACAGACGAGCAGGGGAUGAUGGGAAAAGGACAGAACGGGCAAACUAGGCAUCGGAAUGAAGAGGAGAAAAGAUGAAAAGAAUGGAAGAGACUGAUUGGAAAUAAGGUCAAGGUUUUAUGGAAAUGUUCAACUGAGACGUGAGUGAUGGAUUGGGCUGCAUAUUUUGUUUGCGUCAGUUGAGGCUUUGCCGCCUUUCCCACCUGCUGUGUCUCCCUGCAGCACUUCCACUGUUGGAAAACCUCGGCCAGCUUGUCCAGGCCUGCGUGGUGAAAGUGGAGGACCUUGUACUGGCUCUCCCGGCUGGCUAUCACCAGCUGGCCGCCGGUGCAGGCUUCAUCACUGAGGAGGAGGAGGGCAUUGCAGUUGCGUUUGACAAAUUGCCAUUCAGCUCACACUUACCUGAAGAAGAGGCGCAGCGACCUCAUGUGGCCCAGAUCUACUCGGAAGACGCCGCACAGCUGCUCCAGCGCCAGCACCUUCUGCUGCUCCUCCCAGCGAGCGCCCUGCGACUGGCCGUUGCUCUCUAGGCUAGAGGCCGAGCUCACCGACUGCUGCAUGAGCUCCUCCGACAGCUCCCUGUAGGGAAGACAAAAAGCAAACUGGUGAAUUCAAGCACACGUCAAGUGAAGCCCAAGCAGGAAAAGACCAGAAUGCUCAAACAGGCAAAAAUGGCCGAGUUGCUGAACGUUUGGCAGCUGGCAUGACUUUCUCUUUCCAACACACAAACACGCACACACACACGCACGCACACACACACACAGGCGCGUUAAUGGAGCAUAGCUAAUGACCUGACCAUGCUGUUGCCCCCUACACGUCUCCUGACAUGCGAGUGGUGAGAACCAGCGCAAAGUGCUGAAAUGUGUCCAAGCUGCUCAUACUUAAAACUUAAGUCACACUUUAUUCAAAACAUUCACCAAAUUCAUUGUCUUUGCUCUCUUUGCGACUUGUAAUCCUAAAUCUUACGUAACAAAUUCAGCGCCGAGUUUGCAAGAAUGUGCACAAAUGAAAAACAUGCGAGUGAUACUUGAGCUCCAACUUCCGAAAGACGAGGACGAUCGAUGGGGACAAUCCAUUCUUGUCUUGUUUGCAAAGUAGUAAAGGCUUUCUGAUGA
Syngnathus typhle (broad-nosed pipefish) is the source of this 1608-nucleotide long non-coding RNA. RefSeq lists it as uncharacterized. The record is from RefSeq and is a predicted model, not a curated record. The transcript is spliced from 2 exons. Lineage: Eukaryota; Metazoa; Chordata; Actinopteri; Syngnathiformes; Syngnathidae.